AUUGAACGCUGGCGGCAUGCCUAACACAUGCAAGUCGAACGAUACCAGGAAGCCUCUUGCUGCUUCGCUGACGAGUGGCGGGCGAGUGACCAAUGUCUGUGAAACUGCCUGAUGGAGGGGGUUAACUACUGGAAACGGUACCUAAUACCGCAUAACUUUCCCAGACCAAAGAGCGGGACCUUAGGGCCCCUUUCCAUCGGAUGUGCCCAUAUGGGAUUAGCUAGUAGGUGGGGUGACGGGUUACCUAGGCGACGAUCCCUAGCUGGUCUGAGAGGGUGACCAGCCAGACUGGAACUGAGACACGGUCCAGACUCCUACGGGAGGAAGCAGUGGAGAAUAUUGCGCAAUGGGCGAAAGCCUGAUGGAGCAAAGCCGCGUGUAUGAUGAAGGACUUCGGGUUGUAAAGUACUGUCAGCGGGGAGGAAGGAAGUAAAGUUUACACCGGUGCUUAUUGACGGUACCGGCAGAAGAAGCCCCGGCUAACUCCGUG
Molecule: ribosomal RNA, 490 nt
Filed under: uncultured bacterium
Lineage: Bacteria
Description: partial 16S ribosomal RNA
Rfam family: Bacterial small subunit ribosomal RNA
Source: RNAcentral